Long non-coding RNA from Eriocheir sinensis (Chinese mitten crab), 8053 nucleotides. RefSeq lists it as uncharacterized. The record is from RefSeq and is a predicted model, not a curated record. Lineage: Eukaryota; Metazoa; Arthropoda; Malacostraca; Decapoda; Varunidae. The transcript is spliced from 4 exons.
UAUUUUUUCUAUAUUUAUCUCUAUCCUUGAAUUUUGUUGUUCCACCAGCAUCAUCACCAUCAUUUUUUUUUGUAUUUUCUAUCUUUAUUUAUCUCUAUCCUUGAAUUUUGUUGUUCCACCAUCAUCAUCACCAUCAUUUUUUUUUGUAUUUUCUAUCUUUAUCUCUAUCCUUGAAUUUUGUUGUUCCACCAUCAUCAUCACCAUCAUUUUUUUGUAUUUUCUAUCUUUAUUUAUCUCUGCCCUUGUAUUUUUUGUUCCACCAUCAUCAUCAGCAUCAUUAUUUUGUAUUUUCUAUCUCUAUUUAUCUCUAUCCUUGAUUUUUUUGUUCCACCAUCAUCAUCACCAUUUUUUUUGUAUUUUCUAUCUAUUUAUCUCUGUUCUUGUAUUUUUUUUUGUUCUACCAUCAUCAUCACCAUCAUUAUUUUGUAUUUUUGUUUUCUCUUUAUCUCUGUUCUUGCAGUUUUUGUUCCACCAUCAUCAUCAUUAUCUUCAGCAUUUUUGUUCUGUCUUUGUCUCUGUCCUUGUAUUAUUUUUCCUCCUCCUCCUCCUCCACCACAACCACCACCACCACUUUUCCUUUGUUUUCUCUUUAUCCAAUCCCAAUGUGACGGAGAUGAGCACCGCAGCCACGCGCAACCAUAGCGUAUAUGCACCUAACUGUACUUUACUUCUAUCUCUGUCUUUGUAUUUUCUUUCCUACGACUACCAUCACUUCCACUACCAUCACCCUUACUACUACUACUACCACCACGAUCACCAUUUUUGUAUUUUUGUUCUUUCUUUAUUUCCAUCUUUGUAUUUUUUUUUCCCUACGACCAUCCCUACCACUACCACCACCCUUUUAGUUUUCCUUUUUUAGUAUAAUAUUUUUAGCCUGCGAGCGUCUAUUUCCGUUCCCCCUUCGUAAUCUCUACUCCUUUUUUCUCUAUUUCUGCUUUUUCUUUUUACUUCCUAUGGGUAUUGGUUCCACAUGCAUUUUGGGGGAUUAUGUUAAUGCGUGCGCACAUUAGGUAUACAUGAUGACGGAAUGAGUGUAGAUAGAGGAUGUGUAAACUGCAAAACAAACAAAUAAAAUAGAUAGUGGGUGUUGAUGAAGUGGUAAUAUGUAUUGAUGAUUUAAAUAGGCAAGGUAUUCUUCCUAUGUUUAACUGCACACUCUUCGUUAUUCUAAAUUUAAAUAGACAAGGUAUUCUUCCUAUGUUUAACUGCACACUCUUCGUUAUUCUAAAUCUAAAUAGACAAGGUAUUCUUCCUAUGUUUAACUGCACACUCUUCGUUAUUCUAAAUCUAAAUAGGCAAGGUAUUCUUCCUAUGUUUAACUGCACACUCUUCGUUAUUCUAAAUCUAAAUAGACAAGGUAUUCUUCCUAUGUUUAACUGCACACUCUUCGUUAUUCUAAAUUUAAAUAGACAAGGUAUUCUUCCUAUGUUUAACUGCACACUCUUCGUUAUUCUAAAUCUAAAUAGACAAGGUAUUCUUCCUAUGUUUAACUGCACACUCUUCGUUAUUCUAAAUCUAAAUAGGCAAGGUAUUCUUCCUAUGUUUAACUGCACACUCUUCGUUAUUCUAAAUCUAAAUAGGCAAGGUAUUCUUUCUAUGUUAACAAUAUAGAUUAAGGUUUUGGUCCACGUGUCAGCAAAACAAUUGAAUAUUCACAAGGAAAGGUGGAUUCGUCUUUACAUGUCCGCCCUUCACCUUUCCGUUCCUUGCAUCAGUAAUUUUCAGCGGCGGAGGAAUUUUUAGUUUCGCAUGACGAUCACAUGACUCCUUUGUUUCCUAGUAGUCUCUCUCUCUCUCUCUCUCUCUCUCUCUCUCUCUCUCUCUCUCUCUCUCUCUCUCUCUCUCUCUCUCUCUCUCUCUCUCUCUCUCUCUCUCUCUCUCUGCAUCUCUUCCCCUCCAAUCCCUUCCUUCCUUACAUUCUUCACUCCUCCCCCAACUCUUUUUCUCUUUCUUCUUGUUUUUUUUUUCUUCUUCUUCUUCUUCUUCUUCCUCCUCUAUGCAUUCACUGUCCACCAAUAUCUAGGCUUCGUACGAGAACACAAAUUUACUUCUUUAAUCCUUACUUGCUUUUUACUUCUUUCUCCGUGUUUCUUUGCCUAUUGCUCUUUACGCUAUUGCUGCAAGAUACCCUGAACACACACACACACACACACACACACACACACACACACACACAGAAUGGCCCACAUAUAUAUACACAACAUGGCUCAUACAUGAUAAUUUCGUGUUCCUGUGGUCUUUCUUACCAGUCAUUCUAUACCGUUUAAUAUGGAGAGUGAGUGUAUUUCGUAACGCCAAGAUGUGUGUGGGUGUAUGUGUGUGUGCGGGAAGGGAGGGGAGGGAGGGGAUGGGAAGGAAGGGAACGUGAUGGCUGUCUACGCAGUGACAAGACUGGAUAGAGUGGAUAUUUUUGGAAGUUUUGGUGUCUUAGAUAUGGAAGAGGAGGAGAUGGGAAAGAAGGAAGAGUAUACGUUAAGGAAAAAGAAAAGAAGUGGGGGAGGGAGAAGAUUGGAAUAGAGUGGACAUUUUUGGUAGUUUUGGUGUCUAUGGAAGAUGAGGAGAUAGGAAAAAAGGAAGAGUAUACGUUAAGGAAAAAGAAAAGGUGGGGGAAGGGAAGAUUGGAAUAGAGUGGAUAUUUUUGGUAGUUUUGGUGUCUAUGGAAGAUGAGGAAAUGGGAAAAAAGGAAGAGUAUACGUUAAGGAAAAAGAAAAGGUGGGGGAAGGGGAAGAUUGGAAUAGAGUGGACAUUUUUGGUAGUUUUGGUGUCUAUGGAAGAUGAGGAAAUGGAAAAGAAGGAAGUUUACGUUAAGGAAAAAGGAAAGAAGUUGGGGAAGGAGAAGAUUGGAAUAGGGUGGAUAUUUUUGGUAGGUCUUAGAUAUGGAAGAUGAGGAGAUGGGAAAGAAGGAAGAGUAGGUUAAGGAAAAAGAAAAGAAGUGGAGGAAGGGGAAGACUGCGAAGGAGACAAAGUAGAAGUAGAACAACGAGAAAAAAGUGGAUGUAGAAGAUGAAAAUGAACAAUGGAGAAGAAAAGGGGAUAAAAAUAGGCAUAAAAAAGGACAAAGAAGCAGAACAAGAAAAUAAGAGCAAGAAAAAGAACAUAGUCGAGAAGAAGAAGAAGAAGAAGAAGAAGAAGAAGAAAACAAAGGAGGAAGAGGAAGAGGAAAAGGAGGAGGAGGAGGAGGAGGAAGAGUAAAGUGAGUAAUGCUUGGAUUCAUUCACCCUUCCUUCACAGUCAUUCUCCUUCAAUUGAUCGCUAAUUCGUGCAUGCAAGGCCAAGGACACACACACACACACACACACACACACACACACACACACACACACACGUGCUUUAUUGGACACUUCCCUUUCCUGAUUAAGACCCAUUUUUGGAAAGUUUAUUCUCAAUGGCCACUUUCCUUCCCAAUGCCUUCCCUUUGAGUGCGUGAUGCGUGCUUGUAAUGGCGACUUCCUUUGACCUUCCUACUGUUUGUGUAUCUAUAGUUUCUGAUGAUACUUUUAUGCUUUCUAUGUUUAGCUGCACACUCUUUGUAUUUCUUAAUUUAAAACUGUAGGGCAAACUAGACAAUGGAGGUUAGGUCAGGUUAGAUUAAGCUAUGUUAGGUUAGGUUAGGUUAGGUUAGGCUAUGUUAGGUUUGGUUAGGUUAGGUUAGGCUAGGUUUGGUUAGGUUAGGUAUACAUGAUGAGGGAGUGUAGAUAGAGGAUGCGUAAACUGCAAAACAAACAAAUAAAAUAGAUAGUGGGUGUUGAUGAAGAGGGAAUAUAUGUUGAUGAUUUAAAUAGGCAAGGUAUUCUUCCUAUGUUUAACUGCACACUCUUCGUUAUUCUAAAUUUAAAUAGGCAAGGUAUUCUUCCUAUGUUUAACUGCACACUCUUCGUUAUUCUAAAUUUAAAUAAGCAAGGUAUUCUUCCUAUGUUUAACUGCACACUCUUCGUUAUUCUAAAUUUAAAUAAGCAAGGUAUUCUUCCUAUGUUUAACUGCACACUCUUCGUUAUUCUAAAUUUAAAUAAGCAAGGUAUUCUUCCUAUGUUUAACUGCACACUCUUCGUUAUUCUAAAUUUAAAUAAGCAAGGUAUUCUUCCUAUGUUUAACUGCACACUUUUCGUUUUUCUUAAUUUAAAUGGACAAUGUAUGAGUUCAUUCUAUAGUUAAGUGGGCACUAUAUGAAUUCUUGUAUACAUAUAUGGACACACAUGUCUUUAAAUAUAUUGAUGGCUUGCGCUGUAAUUUUUUCUUUAUUUAAAUGGACGCUAUAUUUGUCUUUGUAUACUUCGAUGGAUAGUGUAUUAAUUUUCGUGUAUUUAAAUGGUCACUGAAUAUAUUUAAUGCGAAACUGUAAUUCUCGUCUUUUGUGAGUCUUUUUUUAUACAAUGCGUGGGUGUAAUGUCUUUUUUUCUUUAUUUGCUUUUUAUUAUUUUUAUCUAGUGUUUUUGCGUGGUAGUAAUGGUCAUCUUUUUUUCUUUAUUUGCCUUUUAUUAUUUUUAUCUAGUGUUUUUAGUGUGGUAGUAAUGUCUGUUUUUUCUUUAUUUGCUUUUUAUUAUUUUCAUCUAGUGUUUUUUGUGUGGUAGUAAUGUAUUUUUUUCUUUAUUUGACUUUAACUAUUUUUAUCUAGUGUUUUUUGUGUGGUAGUAAUGUCUUUUUUUUCUUUAUUUGCCUUUUAUUAUUUUUAUCUAGUGUUUUUUUGUGUGGUAGUAAUGGUCUUCUUUUUUUUUAUUUGCCUUUAAUUAUUUUUAUCUAGUGUUUCUUUGUGUGGUAGUAAUGGUCUUUUUUUUCUUUAUUUGCCUUUAACUAUUUUUAUCUAGUGUUUUUUGUGUGGUACUAAUGUCUUUUUUUUCUUUAUUUGCCUUUUAUUAUUUUUAUCUAGUGUUUUUUGUGUGGUAUUAAUGGUCCUUUUUUUUUCUUUAUUUGCCUUUUAUUAUUUUUAUCUAGUGGUUUUUUUUUGUGGUAAUAAUAGUCUUUUUUUUCACUAUCUACGUCCAUUGUUUCUGCCGGCACUUCUUUCUUCAUUAAUAUUUGUGUUAUUCAUAUAGACACUACAUGGUUUCUCUUUUCACCUUUACUAAUUCAAUUCAAAGUUUUUUUCUGACACUUAUUUUUCUAUCAAUCAAACUUAUUCAAAAUUAUUCAAAUGCACAGUUUUAGCGGUAACUUUUUUCCAUUGGUUUUCGCAUUUUACUUUCCUUUGGUCUUCCCUAAUCAGCACUUUUUCAUCACAUACUUUUGUUUUCUCUCUAUUUUUUAUCCUUUUUUACUCUACAACUUCAGGUUCACGUGAUGUAGACUUCCUGCAAACAUUUCUCUUUUACUUUUGUCACUCUUUAAUUAGUACCAAAUUCACGGCGCCAUUUUAACUUCUCUUUUAUAGUCUUUUUUUUCCACCUUUAUUGUACAACUUCAUAUCAUACAUCUUUUCAGUUUACACUUCUUUUUUCUUUUCCAUUAUUUUGCAUCACUUCAACUGCUCACCUUAAUAUUACAAAGACUUUCAGCAGGUUAUAUUAUUGCAUAGCUAUUUUUACAUACUUUCAGCGUCUUAUAUUAUUGUAGAACUGCGUUUACAUACUUUCAGCAGGUUGGAUAAUUGCACAGCUGUUUUUGUAUACUUUCAGCAGGUUGGAUUAUUGCACAGCUGUUUUUAUAUACUUUCAGCAGGUUGGAUAAUUGCACAGCUGUUUUUAUAUACUUUCAGCAGGUUGGAUAAUUGCACAGCUGUUUUUAUAUACUUUCAGCAGGUUGGAUAAUUGCACAGCUGUUUUUACAUACUUUCAGCAGGUUGGAUAAUUGCACAGCUGUUUUUACAUACUUUCAGCAGGUUGGAUUAUUGCACAGCUGUUUUUAUAUACUUUCAGCAGGUUGGAUUAUUGCACAGCUGUUUUUAUAUACUUUCAGCAGGUUGGAUAAUUGCACAGCUGUUUUUAUAUACUUUCAGCAGGUUGGAUUAUUGCACAGCUGUUUUUAUAUACUUUCAGCAGGUUGGAUAAUUGCACAGCUGUUUUUACAUACUUUCAGCAGGUUGGAUAAUUGCACAGCUGUUUUUAUAUACUUUCAGCAGGUUGGAUAAUUGCACAGCUGUUUUUAUAUACUUUCAGCAGGUUGGAUAAUUGCACAGCUGUUUUUACAUACUUCCAGCGUCUUAUAUUAUUGUACAACUGCUUUUACAUACUUUCAGCAGGCUAGAUUAUUGUACAACUUCAUUUUACAAAGACUCUGCAGGUCAUAUUAUCGUACAACGUGUAACUAGGUAGAUUUUCAGCAGGUAUUUUGUCUUACUUCGUGCGUGUCCUUUCAGUUUAAUCAUGGCCUUCUCAGCACGCACUUUCCUCCCUUUUCUUUUAUCUAUCUUUAACGGGUCUUGAUAUAACGUACAACCUCACAUCAUGGGUUUUAUGCAGAUAUUUUCCUCUUUCUUUUCUCUUUUCUAAUAAGCGCCCUUUUCCUGAACACAUUUCUACUAUCUAUAUUUUCUCCUUUAAUUUCCCUUAGUUUUUUAUUAUUAUUAUUAUUAUUAUUAUUAUUUUAUUUUAUUUUAUUUUUUUUUUUUUUUUUUUUUACAUGUCAGCCUAUAGCACCGGUAGGCUUCUCUUGAGGGGCCUGGAUGGUAGUCGCCCCCAGCCCAUCAUGGCGCAGGCAAGUGUUUUAAAGUGGCGCCAUCUUUUCUUGUACAACUUCGUAUUUAGAUAUCCAUAAAAUAUUUCCUUUACCUUUAUUAACAUUUUUUUAUUACGAACUUUUGCAUUACACAUUUCUCCAUUUCUUCUUCUCCAAUGAUUUCUAAACCUAUUUCACAUUUACCCUUUUCUUUUUUUAUCGCUUUAUCACAUUUUCAUCACACAUUUCCCCCUCUUCUCCCCUUCCAUUCUUCUCCUCUCAUCACCCCUCUCCCAUCACAAAACAUCACAUCACAUAGAACAAACAAACAAACACGUUUUCCUCUUCCUCCUGUCUUUCCUAAUUAGCAUCCAUUCAGCACGCACUCUCUCCCUCCCUCUCUUUUUCUGUUCAUUUUUAACACGCAACUCCAUUCUUUUUUUCUCCCUCUCUUUUCUCUUGGCGGGGAACACAGAGGGAGGCGGGGAGGGCAGGGAGGGUGGCGGCUUUUAUUAUUAGCAGGAUUUCAAAGUAUUUUUCAUUCCUCUCCCUUUCAUUUUACUACGCGGACAGUUAGUGUGGAGGUGAGGCCAGGUGAUCUACUGAGCUGGUAAUACUGCAGUGCUUUGGUGGUGGUGGUGGUGGUGUGGUGGUGGUAGUGGUGGUGUGGUGUGGUGUUGCUGAGUGUUGUUGUGUUGGUGAUUAUGUUAGUGCUGUGUUAGUGAUAGUGUUGUUUGUCAUGCGUUAGUGAUGUUAGUGGUGCUGUGUUGCUGUUGCUGUGGUGGUGGUGGUGGUGUUGUGUUGUCGGUGGUGUGGUGUGGUGUUGCAGUGGUAAUGCUGUGUUGGUGGUGGUGAUAAAGUGGUGUUGGUGUAGGUAAUACUGUGUUAGUGGUGUUGCUGAUAGUGUUGUUGUGUUGGUGAUUGUGUCAGUGAGAGUAUUGUUAGUCGUGUGUUAGUGGUGGUAGUGGUGCUGUGUUGCUGUUAGUGUUGGCGCUGAGGUGGUAGUGAUAGAAGUGGUGGUGGUGGUGGUGGUGGUGUUUUGAGUGUUUUACUGUGGUGGUUAAGUUUUUAUUUCCUCUUCUUUUCUUUCUUUCUCUCCUUCUUUAUCCUUAAGUGGUUGACAGCGCAGUUCUGAGAUGAGAGGUUUUGCUGUCUUCUAAAAAGUUUGUGUUUCUUUGUGUUGUACCUCAUUUCCAUGCGGAUGUGGCAAGGCCCUUCCUUACUGCGCAUUUUUUUCUCUCUUUCUCUUCUUCGUAUUCCUCCUUCUCCUCCUCCUCCUCCUUUUUCUCCUCCACCUCCUUCACCCACGCAACACUCCUAGUUUAGCUUCCACGCAGAUGUGAGUGCAAUUACGGACACACACACACACACACACACACACACACACACACACACACACACACAUGUACACAAUAACCUUGACUGCUUGUUGUCGUUGUUGUUCUUAUCCUUGUUGUUAGUUUAC